Molecule: transfer RNA, 76 nt
Filed under: Ommastrephes brevimanus
Lineage: Eukaryota; Metazoa; Mollusca; Cephalopoda; Oegopsida; Ommastrephidae
Description: tRNA-Glu
Source: RNAcentral
GUUCUCGUAGUGUAGUGUAGCACAUGAGAUUUUCAAUUUCAUAGGGCACCGCGAUCAUGAUUGUGCCGAGAAUGAG